This 466-nucleotide ribosomal RNA is filed under the name uncultured bacterium. RNAcentral describes it as "partial 16S ribosomal RNA". It matches the Rfam family "Bacterial small subunit ribosomal RNA", at positions 28 to 507 of the family's 1533-position model. The record is from RNAcentral.
GACGAACGCUGGCGGCGCGCCUAACACAUGCAAGUCGAACGAGCGAGAGAGAGCUUGCUUUCUCGAGCGAGUGGCGAACGGGUGAGUAACACGUGAGGAACCUGCCUCAAAGAGGGGGACAACAGUUGGAAACGACUGCUAAUACCGCAUAAGCCCACGGUGCCGCAUGGCACAGAGGGAAAAGGAGCAAUCCGCUUUGAGAUGGCCUCGCGUCCGAUUAGCUAGUUGGUGAGGUAAUGGCCCACCAAGGCGACGAUCGGUAGCCGGACUGAGAGGUUGAACGGCCACAUUGGGACUGAGACACGGCCCAGACUCCUACGGGAGGCAGCAGUGGGGAAUAUUGCACAAUGGGGGAAACCCUGAUGCAGCGACGCCGCGUGGAGGAAGAAGGUCUUCGGAUUGUAAACUCCUGUUGUUGGGGAAGAUAAUGACGGUACCCAACAAGGAAGUGACGGCUAACUACGUA